Molecule: ribosomal RNA, 110 nt
Filed under: Danio rerio (zebrafish)
Lineage: Eukaryota; Metazoa; Chordata; Actinopteri; Cypriniformes; Danionidae
Source: RNAcentral
UGCCACAGCCAUAUCAGCCCAAGACCGGUUACUCACUGAAGCUAAGCAGGGCUGAGCCUGGUCAGUCCCUGGAUGGGAGACCACAUGGGAAAACUAGAUUGCUGUUGGAA